GUCGGUUGAUCCUGCCGGACCCACUGCUAUCGGUGAUAGGACUAAGACAUGCUAGUCGUGUGUUCAGCUAAAAAGAAGCACGGCAUACAGCUCAGUAACACGUGGCUAACCUGCCCUUGGGACGAGAACAACCCCGGGAAACUGGGGCUAACUCUCGAUAGGCGAAAAUCUCUGGAAUGAGUUUUCACCCAAAAAGUUUGAGGUUAUGCUCUCUAAACCGCCCAAGGAUGGGGCCGCGACCGAUCAGGUUGUUGGUGAGGUAAUGGCUCACCAAGCCUUUUACCGGUGCGGGCCGUGGGAGCGGGAGCCCGGAGAUGGGCACUGAGACAAGGGCCCAGGCCCUACGGGGCGCAGCAGUCGCGAAAACUUUGCAAUAAGCGAAAGCUUGACAGGGCUAUCCCGAGUGCCAUCCGCUGAGGAAGGCUUUUACCCAGUCUAGAACGCUGGGGGAAUAAGGAGAGGGCAAGUCUGGUGUCAGCCGCCGCGGUAAUACCAGCUCUCCGAGUGGUGUGGAUGUUUAUUGGGCCUAAAGCAUCCGUAGCUGGCUAGGUUAGUCCCCUGUUAAAUCCACCGAAUUAAUCGUUGGAUUGCGGGGGUACUGCUUGGCUC
Molecule: ribosomal RNA, 609 nt
Filed under: uncultured archaeon
Lineage: Archaea
Description: bacterial SSU rRNA
Rfam family: Archaeal small subunit ribosomal RNA
Source: RNAcentral